RNAcentral lists this long non-coding RNA (350 nucleotides) under Mustela putorius furo (domestic ferret). Its description in RNAcentral is "lncRNA (ENSMPUG00000023970.1)". Lineage: Eukaryota; Metazoa; Chordata; Mammalia; Carnivora; Mustelidae. The record is from RNAcentral.
UGGGGAGUGACUAAAACCUGCAACAUGGAAAGAAUUGGGAAUUCAUAUGAGAAAAGAUUAUCUGAACUUCAGCAAUGACUAAGGGAACAGAUAUAAGAUAUCAGAACACAUAGUGGCCAACUAAAUGAAAGGGCAGAUGAUGAGACAAAGAAGUUUCAGAUCUUUAUACAAGUCUGAGGAUGUGAAGAAGAACAGAUUGACUAAUGAGAUCAAGGUGGUGAGUUGAACCGUCUUGUGAGUUGAACCGUCUUGUACCAUAAUCAAUUUCACAACAAGAAAUAAUUUAUUCAGGGAACAAAGAAUCAAUCCUAAUUUCAGCCAACAAUCUCAUAUGGUAACUGCAGGGAAAC